RNAcentral lists this long non-coding RNA (1674 nucleotides) under Bos taurus (domestic cattle). Its description in RNAcentral is "long non-coding RNA NONBTAT013712". The record is from RNAcentral. Lineage: Eukaryota; Metazoa; Chordata; Mammalia; Artiodactyla; Bovidae.
ACCUGAAGUAGUUUCUUUCCUCUCUUGGCAAGCCCCACAAAAACAUCUGCUUGUAAAGACCUGAAAUACAGAGAUGCAUUUUCCUGCAUGAGCCAGGUUUACCCACAACUUUCAAUUAUUGGUUCUAGUCUAAAGAUACACAUAGGGUUUCCAGCAAAGAUCAGUGAUAAGACUCUAGAACAUUCUAGAAUGAUGCAUUAUGAGACCAUGAAUCCUUAGAAUUUAGUGUGGUUUUCUGCUUUGAAAUUCCUUUGCUGUAUUCUGAAAAAUGUUAGAUGAGUUUGGUGGAGAAUUUAGAAAAACUGAUCUUCCAACCCCCCUGCCUAAAAGUGCUAAUUAUUUUCUAUAGUUAGCAUGUUACCCGUGUGGCAGUAUUUUCUCUACUUUUGAUAAUUCCCAUAAAACUACUGCAUUAACGCCUUUGAAAUAUGAUAACCACAGAUUUUAAUACAGCGAACUCCUGAAACUUGUGGUCUGAAGUCUGCCAAAAAGUGACACUGUCCCAUCUGGCACAUUGCUCAUCUGUGGGAUGAGCUUGAGACUGGGUUCUUUCUACCCUCCUAUCUUGACCUGUCCUUUCCUGGUUUCCUUUAAAAUUCUGCUUAAUGCAUGACUGCAGAGUACCAUUGGAGAAUGCAAGAACACUUUUUAAUAGCAAAAUGUAAUAUUUUUGUGUGCAUGGAUAUUGAGACUUUCAAUAGCAAAUCACUAGAAAUUCCGACCAUAUUUUUCUUGCUGAGUUUUUCUUCUCCCAAUAUAAAUCUCUGGAAUUGUGACUUACAUUAGAAAUUCCAAUAUUUGAAAAAUUGGCUAGAAAAUCUAAGUUUUCUUUCAACUUCCAAAACCACAAUUUAGUAUUUAGGAUAUAUUGCUCCAAGCUUAACUAUUUAUUUGAAAUGUCUAUUCCGUAUUCAGUGCUUCCACUCCAAAUGGUUGUGACUUUUCCUGAAUUUGUUGUCGACAUGGAUAUUUAUAUGGACUUGUAGAGGUUUGUAUUUAUUUCAUUGCAGUUAUGGUGUUUAUAAAACAAGCAAGCCAUACAAAACCUUAUUCACAGUCACAGAAUAGUGAUCUAAUAAUGGAGUAAUCAUUCCAACUCACCCUGAAGAUGGUACAACAUACAUACAAACUUAGGAUUAGAUAUAAUACUGCUUAAUACUUAUACAAAAAAGAUGAAUCUCAUGUGUUGGAUAAACCAACAUGAACAUGAUUUCAUGAUUGAAUUCAGAAUUAUGUUUAAUGUCAUAAGAGUAUAAAUCGUGAUAUCUUCGUUUAUUAGUAUGGGAAGCAAUCGCUUUUAUGUCUUUCCAUUUCUCUCCUGCUUUUUCAUCUUCCUCUUUUUCAUUUUUGCCUUUCCCUUCCUGUCUUCGAUGUUAGCUUCUCAGUGGGACCAAGAUGCUUGGCGUCAGUGGCAGAGCCACAGCACUUGGGGAAUCCCUGUACAGACAGAACUAAGUUCUAAUCCUAAAAUCAAAUCUUUAUCGUGACAAUUUUCCAAAAACUUUUUUAAAAUUGCACAAUAUGUACACACACACACGCACCUCACAUGUUUUUUAAAGAAAGACCCAGCAUUUGUUGCACUCUGCGAAUUGAAGAAUCAUUGAUAGUGACACCUAAGCUGAAAUCAUUUCACAGUUGCUGUGCUGGCAUUUAUUGGGUUAACCCCCCCCCCCC